GCACAAUCACAAACAUGGAGCUCUCUUUCUUCACUCCAGUCCUGUGCCUCCUACUGCUAGCCACCACGGCCCUGGCUUCAGUGCCAGACAUUGAAUCUGAAGAACACACUGGUGAAGACCAUUUGGGUCGUAGUCGUCCAAUCACAAGGAUCUAUCAUCCGUCGACAAGCUCUUGCAUACUGAGGGAAUUGGUGUCGGACCCUCUGAAACUGGGACCUUGCACCAACUCCGACCCCUGGAGUUACACACCCCAGAAGAAUCUGUUGAUCAAGGGCACCUAUUUCUGCCUCCAGGCCA
This 297-nucleotide unclassified non-coding RNA is filed under the name Hevea brasiliensis (rubber tree). Lineage: Eukaryota; Viridiplantae; Streptophyta; Magnoliopsida; Malpighiales; Euphorbiaceae. The record is from RNAcentral.